RNAcentral lists this transfer RNA (73 nucleotides) under Bacillus safensis. RNAcentral's name for it is "tRNA-Glu". It matches the Rfam family "tRNA". From Rfam's summary of the family: Transfer RNA (tRNA) molecules are approximately 80 nucleotides in length. Their secondary structure includes four short double-helical elements and three loops (D, anti-codon, and T loops). Lineage: Bacteria; Bacillati; Bacillota; Bacilli; Caryophanales; Bacillaceae. The record is from RNAcentral.
UGGCCCGUUGGUCAAGCGGUUAGACACCGCCCUUUCACGGCGGUAACACGGGUUCGAAUCCCGUACGGGUCAU